Punica granatum (pomegranate) is the source of this 906-nucleotide non-coding RNA. Lineage: Eukaryota; Viridiplantae; Streptophyta; Magnoliopsida; Myrtales; Lythraceae. The record is from RefSeq and is a predicted model, not a curated record.
UCCAUUCUCUCUCUCUCUCUCUCUCUCUCUCUCUCUCUCCCGCCACUGCAAAUCAAUUGUCGCUCUUCUGAUCUAUUAGAAACGAGCUAAGGUGCCAUUGUCAUGCUAAGCUCUGCUCGUCCUUCCUUCGCUCCAUCGGCCGAAGCAACUUCCGCCGGCAAUCGGUUUCCUCACUGUCUGCUCUGAAUUUUCCAGCAACCUUCAGUCCUAUCAGUCUCCGUAUCUGUUAUAGCUUACUAGCUGAUUCUAUGGCAAUUCGAUGAGUGUUUUGUUUUCUCGGGAUUGGCCCAGUGGAUGAAUUGUUCGGGGAAGGAUUCGAGGGAAAUACUUGGGGGAAGGAUGACGAUGCUUCGAUUUCAGUCCAGGUGUUGGACCGCGUCGACAUGCUGUUCAAUAGGCAUAGGGUGUGGGAUACGUCGAAACGUGACAAAGACCAACGUUCUCUUUCAAAAUUAGCCCUUUGGCUUCACCGUUGAUGUUAACAACACACUCUUAUUACGCAUUUGCUAAUAUAAGCUUGUUCGUCUUGGUGGUUUCUACCCUAACGACGAGGCGGUAUUAACGAAGAAUUUUCUCCAACAUUACCAACAGUUUGAAAGGACUUAUUUACGGUCGUUUGCAGGCACUAUCUCUGAGUCUGAGGCGGUCGUGGAAUGAAGGGGAUAAGUGUAGUGUGUACAUUCUUGUCAUAACCAUUUUACUGUGACGUUCCUCAUGACAUGACACCGACAUAGGAAGGAACUUUGCUCAUCAUGUCUUACGUUGUUGAAUUGAGGUGGGAACUGUUACCUAUGCGGCUUCUGACCUCUUUUCCGUUGCUCUACCAAUGAUUGCCGAUCCCUUCCAGCAUAAAACUACUACAAUUUCCAUUUUGGGUUUAGAUUCGUUCAUAUUUGUAGCUGGGGA